AGGGUUUGAUCCUGGCUCAGAGUGAACGCUGGCGGCGUGGAUAAGGCAUGCAAGUCGAGCGAUCUUAUUUUACGAAGUAUACUGAAAAUCUUCGGAUUCGAUGUUUGCUUUGUUUUCUAAGAUAGCGGCAAACGGGUGAGUAAUGAGUGGGUAACCUACCUUAAGGAGGAGAAUAGUUUCGCGAAAGCGGAAGUAAUACUCCAUAAUAACAUAUGCUGAUUGUAUAUGUUUAAAGAUGGCCUCUAUUUAUAAGCUGUCACCUUUUGAGGGGCCCACUUCCUAUCAGGUAGUUGGUAAGGUAAUGGCUUACCAAGCCUACGACGGGUAGCUGGUAUUAGUGUAUGGUCAGCCACACCGGAACUGAGAUACUGUCCGGACUCCUACGGGAGGCUGCAGUCGAGAAUCUUUUUCAAUGGGCGAAAGCCUGAAAAUGCGACGUCGCGUGAGGGAUGAAGCGUUUCGGCGUGUAAACUUCUUUUAUAAGGGAGGAACGUUUAUUUGUUAAUACCAGGUAAACUUGACUUCACCUUAUGAAUAAGCCACGGCUAACUCCGUGCCAGCAGCCGCGGUAAUACGGAGGUGGCAAGCGUUACUCGGUUUGAUUGGGUGUAAAGGGUCCGCAGGCGGCCUUAUAAGUAGAAAGUGAAAUCCUUCCGCUUGACGGAAGAACGGCUUUCUAAACUAUUUGGCUUGAGGAUGAAAGAGGAGAGUGGAACUGUUGGUGUAAGGGUGAAAUCUGUGGAUAUCAACAGGAACGUCCGUGACGAAGGUGGCUCUCUGGUUCAUUCCUGACGCUCAGGGACGAAAGCUAGGGGAGCAAACAGGAUUAGAUACCCUGGUAGUCCUAGCUGUAAACGAUGGGCACUAGGUGUUCCCGUCUUAGACGGGGGUGUCGAAGCUAACGCGUUAAGUGCCCCACCUGGGGACUACGGCCGCAAGGCUAAAACUCAAAGGAAUUGACGGGGGCCCGCACAAGCGGUGGAACACGUGGUUUAAUUCGAUGCUACGCGAGGAACCUUACCAGGGUUUGACAUGCUGGAAGUAGUAGCCUGAAAAGGCGUCCGACCUGUAUCCAAUCAGGAACCAGCACAGGUGCUGCAUGGUUGUCGUCAGCUCGUGCCGUGAGGUGUUCCCUUAAGUGGGAAAACGAGCGCAACCCUCGCUUCUAGUUGCCAUCGAUCUCUUUGAGAUGCUGGGCACUCUAGAGGGACUGCCUACGUUAAGUAGGAGGAAGGCGGGGACGACGUCAAAUCCGCAUGGCCCUUAUAUCCUGGGCUACACACGUGUUACAAUGGCGUAUACAAUGGGGGGCAAUACCGUAAGGUGGAGCAAAUCCUCAAAGUACGCCCCAGUUCGGAUUGAGGCUUGCAAUUCAGCCUCAUGAAGCUGGAAUCGCUAGUAAUGGCGCAUCAGCUACGGCGCCGUGAAUACGUUCCCGGGCCUUGUACACACCGCCCGUCAAGCGCUGAAAAUAGGAGACGCCCGAAGCCCCGAUUUAUCGGGUUCACGGUGAAGUCUGUGAUUGGCGCUAAGUCGUAACAAGGUA
RNAcentral lists this ribosomal RNA (1546 nucleotides) under metagenome. Its description in RNAcentral is "bacterial SSU rRNA". It matches the Rfam family "Bacterial small subunit ribosomal RNA". The record is from RNAcentral.